CUUCCGUAGGUGAACCUGCGGAAGGAUCAUUAAAAAAUGUGGUACCAUUAUUGGUACUAAUUAAUCAUCCUACCCUUUGUGAAUUUGUUUGUAUGAAUUUUUUUAAAUGGGUCUUUCCCUAAGUUGGAUUGUUAGUAAAAUACAAAAAGACUUAGGGGAAUGACUUUUUAAAAGACUUUUUUUUAAUUAAACUUUUUGUAUUCAUUUGUCUAAAAUUUAUUUUUAUAAUAUAAAAACAACUUUUGACAAUGGAUCUCUUGGUUCUCGCAACGAUGAAGAACGCAGCAAAAUGCGAUAAGUAGUGUGAAUUGCAGAAUACGUGAAUCAUCGAAUCUUCGAACGCAUAUUGCACUUUUUUAGUUUACUAAAAAAGUAUGUCUGUUUGAGUAUCAGUAAAAUAUUCUCACAAAACAUAUAUUGUUUUGUGGUUAUGAGUGUUUUACAACGAUAAACAAGUUGUUUCACUUUAAAUUCUUUUUAAUUGAAUUUUACCAAUUCAUAAAUUAAAAUUGGAUAAAAUUUUCCUUUAACGAGGAAUAACCUAAACAAUUUUAAAUUUUAUGGAUUAAUAAACAUUCAUCAAAGGAAUCUAUAUACAUAAAUAACUUGAUCUCAAACAGAUAAGAGUACCCGCUGAACUUAAGCAUAUCAAUAAGCGGAGGAAAAGAAACUAACAAGGAUUCCCUUAGUAACGGCGAGUGAAGCGGGAAGAGCUCAAAUUUGAAAUCUUCAAGGUUUGACCUUGACGAAUUGUAGUUUAUAGAAGUGUUUUCUGUUGGAGUUUUGGUAAAAGUUCUUUGGAAUAGGACAUCAUAGGGGUGAGAAUCCCGUAUUUGACCAUGACUUUCCAGCUGUGUGAUACACUUUCAAAGAGUCGGAUUGUUUGGAAUGCAGUCCAAAAUGGGUGGUAAAUUUCAUCUAAAGCUAAAUAUUGGCGAGAGACCGAUAGCGAACAAGUACCGUGAGGGAAAGAUGAAAAGAACUUUGAAAAGAGAGUUAAACAGUACGUGAAAUUGUCAAAAGGGAAGCGUUUGACACCAGUGUUGUUUUCUCGAAAAUCAAUUUAAUGAGUUCUUGUUUUUAAGUUAUUGUGACUUUAUCAGCGCAUUUCUUAUUUUACUUGACUCAUUGAAUGCACUUUUCGUUUAACAAGUCAACAUCAAUUUCUUUGGUGGUAAAAAGUUUAAAGGAAGGUGGCUUGGACUUCGGUUCAAGUGUUUAUAGCCUUUCUUCUAUGCCAUCGGAGAGAUUGAGGUCUGCAGCGUAGAUCCUUCGGGGUUAGAUACCUUUGUGCUAAGUUAUAGUUUUUUAUAGACAACUUGUUGACUAUAAUUAACCCUGUAAUUUACUCGCUUAGGCUAUUU
RNAcentral lists this unclassified non-coding RNA (1364 nucleotides) under uncultured Neocallimastigales. RNAcentral describes it as "partial contains small subunit ribosomal RNA, internal transcribed spacer 1, 5.8S ribosomal RNA, internal transcribed spacer 2, and large subunit ribosomal RNA". The stretch from base 608 to 1364 matches the Rfam family "Eukaryotic large subunit ribosomal RNA", at positions 1 to 617 of the family's 3401-position model. Lineage: Eukaryota; Fungi; Neocallimastigomycota; Neocallimastigomycetes; Neocallimastigales. The record is from RNAcentral.